This 2333-nucleotide long non-coding RNA is filed under the name Volvox carteri. RNAcentral describes it as "long non-coding RNA (VCAR_LNC001640)". The record is from RNAcentral. Lineage: Eukaryota; Viridiplantae; Chlorophyta; Chlorophyceae; Chlamydomonadales; Volvocaceae.
UCUACCUUUUGUCCCUACAUCAGAAGGCGCCUUUAUCUACGUAGCCGGAUUAUUUACAUUGCAUUGCCACGUAUUGCUCCAGGGUCCAGGCUGUAGGCUGUAUCACAUUCACGUGGUAGGCUGCUCCAGCGAAAACACCACUACCACCGCUGGCUGCAGCUCUGUCGGCAAUCAGCAGUGUUGCUUCUCAUCGUGAGGUGUGAAAGGACUGGAAUGGGGUAAGAACGACGGAUAAGAGAUGUAACCAUAAGCUGGGGACGGGGUGGUUUGUACGUACCCAUACCUUCUCACAGACAACACACGCCUGGAUAUACCAUUCCCCCAACCUAGGCCGCAGCUACAGCCCUGAUCAUAUGUUACAUCCCCCACCACCAUCGCAUCCCUUUCCAACCUGCCCACACCCCUUUUACUUUCCAACCUGCCCACAUCCCCUUUACCUUCCAACCUGCCCAUAUCCCCUUCCUAUAUCUCCUUUUCCCCAUGCCGUGCCUUCAGUCAAGCCGGGCACCGCAGCUGGGAAAUCGUCCAUCCAUCACCACUGUGUUGGCGGUUCUGCAGGCGCCUAGUACCAUCGGUCCAGCCGCUGCAGGAACUUCCGCUUGCUGCUGGCCGUGUACCGGUCACCACCGCAUUGCCGGUUGCACCGGCACCCGCAGGUUUGCAAGCGACACCACAACGGGUUGCAAAUCUUCGGGUGCCGGUGCAACUGCCAAUGCAGCGGUGAUCGACGCCUAGCAUGGAUGCUGCUGCCUGGGCGACUGUGCGGCCUCCCCACUAUGGCACUUAUGUCCGACCUAAGCCAGGACUGGAACAGCAUGUCGUAAUGGUGCUUUGGUGUCGUAACGUUCCCAGUACGGAUUGGUAAAGCUGCACAUCAUGAUGGGCAAUGCUCGCUGCCGCCCAUGGCAUCACGGGCGCAUGGGGCUGGGACGAUGAUUUUCGUCUGUUCCCAGCCAUCAUGCGGUCUUGUGCCUGAUGACUGCCCUGCACAAAAUCUCCUUGACCUCCCUUUAUCUGCACAACUUGUAAUCCGAAAUACACACAAUCUGCAUGGCAGUGCAUAUUUCCCUUGCAACUCCCUUGCCUGAUCCCUUUGAAGAGUCCCUCCACCUUUCCAUGAAGCUUUCACUCUUACUAUUCUGACCUUGGAGCCUUCGUAGCUCCGUUUGGCAGGGCAUCGGGGCACCAUGGUUUGCGCUUGUUGCAUGCAGCGGUUUGUUGCCGCUGUGAGACUCACGAGCUUUGAACUCUGAGCCCCGGGGUGCCCCAUAUUCGAUUAUGUAUGCUCGCCAUGUGUGGGUUGGGUUGUACAGCUGUGAAGGGUUCGGUUGUACAGCUUCGCGCUCACGUUGGCGUUACCAGAUGUGCUCAGCUCUUGGAUGGAUCCAGGGCGUGGAUGUGGGCUGUGAUGUUGUUAGGGAUACAUAUCUGUACGCACUAUCAGCACACACUAGCGCCCAAAGGGCUUACCGAGUUGCGGGUGUUGUGAUCUCGUGCGUCGUUGCUCUAGCGCUGGCGGCUGCUGGUCAGGUUAGGCCCCCACGUUCGCCUGUGUACGAUCGCGUCGUGGUAUGCUCAUGCAUUCCUGUCCCCCUGUGCACCAUUGCUGGUAGCGGCUGAUAGACAGCGACAUGCAGGGGUGUCAGCAGGAUGGACAAUCUGGAUAGUGCAUCUUGGGAUGUUUUAUUCCGAGGCCGUAAUGUGGAGCUGUAUUUGAGUGGAGAUCUUAUGUCUGUACGAUGAUCUGUGGACGAGAGGCAACGGUUACGCACGUUGUUCAUACAAGGCUACGCGAAAAGCGCAUGUAUGGCAGCUAAAUCCUUCAUUUGCUGAUCUUGGUGCCUCAUUUUCUUCGCUGUCUCCGCUUAUUGAUAUCUGUACAUAGGACCGCCACAGAGAUUUGCAUAAGUGUUUAGAAGGUUGUCAAUACUUCGCUACUGGCGUCGCAUAUUGUCCCAGCAGUGGUACACCCAUCUUCACUAGCGAUAUGGGCCGCUAUCUAUGACAGAUCCACCAGGAAGCUACAUAGAUAGCGGGUUAAGCGGACCUGGCUAUAAAGUACUAUUUUUACUAAUGAAGUACUAUUUUUACUAAUGAGCAUCAAUCAACACGACUUAACUUGUGGAAAUGAUUUGUUUGUUUUAUUUAAUUAUACUAACAAAUUAAUCAAUUUCUACACUUCUUUUUCAUCGGCACUUUGUCUGUGCCGCAGUGUUGUCUUGGAAGAGAAUUCAAAGCCCAUGUUCAAGCCUGGGAACGUAUAACACAAAACACCAGAUAAUGAUAUUUAAUGUGAUAUUCACAUUUACUUGGGUGAACUAUUGCACCUGGGC